Molecule: ribosomal RNA, 253 nt
Filed under: uncultured prokaryote
Description: partial 16S ribosomal RNA
Rfam family: Bacterial small subunit ribosomal RNA
Source: RNAcentral
UACAGAGGGGGCAAGCGUUGUUCGGAAUUACUGGGCGUAAAGGGCGCGUAGGCGGCCUGCUAAGUCGAGCGUGAAAUCCCCGGGCUCAACCCGGGAACUGCGUCCGAUACUGGUUGGCUUGAAUCCGGGAGAGGGAUGCGGAAUUCCAGGUGUAGCGGUGAAAUGCGUAGAUAUCUGGAGGAACACCCGUGGCGAAGGCGGCUCUCUGGUCCGAUACUGACGCUGAGGCGCGAAAGCUAGGGUAGCAAACAGG